GUGCCAGCAGCCGCGGUAAUACGGAAGGUCCGGGCGUUAUCCGGAUUUAUUGGGUUUAAAGGGAGCGCAGGCUGAUUGUUAAGCGUGACGUGAAAUGUAGCCGUUCAACGGUGAACUGCGUCGCGAACUGGCAGUCUUGAGUGAGUACGACGUCAGCGGAAUUCGUGGUGUAGCGGUGAAAUGCUUAGAUAUCACGAAGAACCCCGACUGCGAAGGCAGCUGACGAGUCCUUUACUGACGCUAAAGCUCGAAGGUGCGGGUAUCGAACAGGAUUAGAUACCCUGGUAGUCCGCACGGUAAACGAUGGAUGCCCGCUGUUGGCGAUAUAGUGUCAGCGGCCAAGCGAAAGCGUUAAGCAUCCCACCUGGGGAGUACGCCGGCAACGGUGAAACUCAAAGGAAUUGACGGGGGCCCGCACAAGCGGAGGAACAUGUGGUUUAAUUCGAUGAUACGCGAGGAACCUUACCCGGGCUUGAACUGCAGGGGAACGAUAGAGAGAUCUUGAGGUCAGCAAUGACCCCUGUGGAGGUGCUGCAUGGUUGUCGUCAGCUCGUGCCGUGAGGUGUCGGCUUAAGUGCCAUAACGAGCGCAACCCUUGUCUGUAGUUGCCAUCAGGUGAUGCUGGGCACUCUGCGGAUACUGCCACCGUAAGGUGUGAGGAAGGUGGGGAUGACGUCAAAUCAGCACGGCCCUUACGUCCGGGGCUACACACGUGUUACAAUGGGGUGUACAGAGAGUCGGUGCAUGGCAAUAUGCAUCCAAUCCUUAAAGCACUCCUCAGUUCGGAUUGGGUCUGCAACCCGACCCCAUGAAGCUGGAUUCGCUAGUAAUCGCGCAUCAGCCAUGGCGCGGUGAAUACGUUCCCGGGCCUUGUACACACCGCCCGU
RNAcentral lists this ribosomal RNA (887 nucleotides) under uncultured rumen bacterium. RNAcentral's name for it is "bacterial SSU rRNA". It matches the Rfam family "Bacterial small subunit ribosomal RNA", at positions 505 to 1397 of the family's 1533-position model. The record is from RNAcentral.